Molecule: ribosomal RNA, 369 nt
Filed under: Triticum aestivum (bread wheat)
Lineage: Eukaryota; Viridiplantae; Streptophyta; Magnoliopsida; Poales; Poaceae
Description: partial small subunit ribosomal RNA
Source: RNAcentral
AUGGACAGGUUCGUGAAGGAGCUGCAGAAGGCGCUGGACGUGGACAUCCAGGAUCGCAUCAUGAAGGAGCGGGAGAUGCCAGCUACAUUAGGAGCACAAACGCGGGGUCGCCGAGAGGGAGGCCGUUUGGAAGGCCGAGCUCUCCCGCCGCGAGGUAGUAAUCGAAACCCGUACAUGUCUUACUGUCGUCUCCUUUUCUGUCAGACCGAUUCAUCUGCGUAUUUAUACCCUGGUGUUGAUUCAUAUGAUGGUGUCGAUGGCAUGAUGCCUUCGGUAAGGGAUCAGUUGCUGAAUCCUGGUGCAUUCCAAAGUAUAUAUAUUAAAUUUACAUUUCCACUACCAGUAAACCAUGUUGUCAUCAAUCUCUGA